RNAcentral lists this transfer RNA (77 nucleotides) under Candidatus Fermentibacterota bacterium. RNAcentral's name for it is "tRNA-Met". It matches the Rfam family "tRNA". Rfam says of the family: Transfer RNA (tRNA) molecules are approximately 80 nucleotides in length. Their secondary structure includes four short double-helical elements and three loops (D, anti-codon, and T loops). RNAcentral also lists the same sequence under 1 other name. Lineage: Bacteria; Pseudomonadati; Candidatus Fermentibacterota. The record is from RNAcentral.
GGCGGUGUAGCUCAGCUGGCUAGAGCAGCGGAAUCAUAAUCCGCGGGUCGGGGGUUCAAGUCCCUCCGCCGCUACCA